RNAcentral lists this ribosomal RNA (1017 nucleotides) under Klebsiella pneumoniae. Its description in RNAcentral is "partial 23S ribosomal RNA". It matches the Rfam family "Bacterial large subunit ribosomal RNA", at positions 419 to 1438 of the family's 2925-position model. Lineage: Bacteria; Pseudomonadati; Pseudomonadota; Gammaproteobacteria; Enterobacterales; Enterobacteriaceae. The record is from RNAcentral.
GGGACACGUGGUAUCCUGUCUGAAUAUGGGGGGACCAUCCUCCAAGGCUAAAUACUCCUGACUGACCGAUAGUGAACCAGUACCGUGAGGGAAAGGCGAAAAGAACCCCGGCGAGGGGAGUGAAAAAGAACCUGAAACCGUGUACGUACAAGCAGUGGGAGCACCUUCGGGUGUGACUGCGUACCUUUUGUAUAAUGGGUCAGCGACUUAUAUUCUGUAGCAAGGUUAACCGUAUAGGGGAGCCGCAGGGAAACCGAGUCUUAACUGGGCGUUAAGUUGCAGGGUAUAGACCCGAAACCCGGUGAUCUAGCCAUGGGCAGGUUGAAGGUUGGGUAACACUAACUGGAGGACCGAACCGACUAAUGUUGAAAAAUUAGCGGAUGACUUGUGGCUGGGGGUGAAAGGCCAAUCAAACCGGGAGAUAGCUGGUUCUCCCCGAAAGCUAUUUAGGUAGCGCCUCGUGAAUUCAUCUUCGGGGGUAGAGCACUGUUUCGGCUAGGGGGUCAUCCCGACUUACCAACCCGAUGCAAACUACGAAUACCGAAGAAUGUUAUCACGGGAGACACACGGCGGGUGCUAACGUCCGUCGUGAAGAGGGAAACAACCCAGACCGCCAGCUAAGGUCCCAAAGUCAUGGUUAAGUGGGAAACGAUGUGGGAAGGCACAGACAGCCAGGAUGUUGGCUUAGAAGCAGCCAUCAUUUAAAGAAAGCGUAAUAGCUCACUGGUCGAGUCGGCCUGCGCGGAAGAUGUAACGGGGCUAAACCAUGCACCGAAGCUGCGGCAGCGACACUAUGUGUUGUUGGGUAGGGGAGCGUUCUGUAAGCCUGCGAAGGUGUGCUGUGAGGCAUGCUGGAGGUAUCAGAAGUGCGAAUGCUGACAUAAGUAACGAUAAAGCGGGUGAAAAGCCCGCUCGCCGGAAGACCAAGGGUUCCUGUCCAACGUUAAUCGGGGCAGGGUGAGUCGACCCCUAAGGCGAGGCCGAAAGGCGUAGUCGAUGGGAAACAGGUUAAUAUUC